RNAcentral lists this ribosomal RNA (499 nucleotides) under uncultured Glomeromycotina. Its description in RNAcentral is "partial small subunit ribosomal RNA". It matches the Rfam family "Eukaryotic small subunit ribosomal RNA", at positions 591 to 1092 of the family's 1831-position model. Lineage: Eukaryota; Fungi; Glomeromycota. The record is from RNAcentral.
CCAAUAGCGUAUAUUAAAGUUGUUGCAGUUAAAAAGCUCGUAGUUGAAUUUCGAGAUCGGGUUAUUGGUCGUGCUAUUGUACGUACUGGUAUUACCGGUUUCUCCUUUCUGACGAACCUUAAUGCCAUUAAUUUGGUGUUUUGGGAAAUCAGGACUGUUACUUUGAAAAAGUUAGAGUGGUUAAAGCAGGCUCACGCUUGAAUACAUUAGCAUGGAAUAACGGAAUAGGACGUUUGAUUCUAUUUUGUUGGUUUCUAGGAUCGACGUAAUGAUUAAUAGGGAUAGUUGGGGGCAUUAGUAUUCAAUUGUCAGAGGUGAAAUUCUUGGAUUUAUUGAAGACUAACUACUGCGAAAGCAUUUGCCAAGGAUGUUUUCAUUAAUCAAGAACGAAAGUUAGGGGAUCGAAGACGAUCAGAUACCGUCGUAGUCUUAACCAUAAACUAUGCCGACUAGGGAUCGGAUGAUGUUAAUUUUUUAAUGACUCAUUCGGCGCCUUACG